This 107-nucleotide small nuclear RNA is filed under the name Octodon degus (degu). The record is from RNAcentral. Lineage: Eukaryota; Metazoa; Chordata; Mammalia; Rodentia; Octodontidae.
GUGCUCCCUUCAGCAGCACAUAUACUAAAAUUGGAAUGAUACAGAGAAGAUUAGCAUGGCCCCUGCACAAGGAUGACAUGCAAAGUUGUGAAGCAUUCCAUAUUUUU